UCACUGUGAGGCGAGAAAGCGUGGAGAGCACACAGGAUUAGAUACCCUGGUAGUACACGCCGUAAGCGAUGAGUUGUAAGUGUGAGAGGGUUUCGCGCCCCAGUAGUCCUGAAGUUAACGCAUUAAGCACUCCGUGGGGGGAGUGCGCGCGCAAGGCUGAAACUCAAAGGAAUUCACGGGGGCCCGCACAAGCGGUGGAACAUGUGGUUUAAUUAGAAGCAACGCGAAGAACCUUCUCAGGUCUUGACAUCCUCUGACAACCCUAGAGAUAGGGGUUCUCCUUCGGGAGCAGAGUGACAGGUGGUGCAUGGUCGUCGUCAGCUCGUCGUCGUGAGAUGUUGGGUUAAGUCCCGCCGACGAGCGCAACCCUUGAUUAGUAGUCACCUCGUUAAGGUGGGCACUCUAAGGUGCUGCCGGUGACAAACCGGAGGAAGGUGGGGAUGACGUCAAAUCAUCAUGCCCCUUUCGACCAGGGCUACACACGUGCUACAAUGGUCGGUACAAAGAGCUGCAAGCCCGCGAGGGGGAGCCAAUCUCAUAAACCCGUUCUCAGUUCGGAUUGUAGUCUGCAACUCGCCUCCAUGAAGUCGGAAUCGCUAGUAAUCGCGGAUCAGCAUUCCGCCGGGAAAUCCUUUCCCGGCCUUGUUCCCCCCCCCCCUCCCCCCCCGGGAAGUUGUUACCACCGAAGUCGGUAGGUACCUUCUGGAGGCAGCUGCCUAG
RNAcentral lists this ribosomal RNA (720 nucleotides) under Bacillus cereus. RNAcentral describes it as "partial 16S ribosomal RNA". It matches the Rfam family "Bacterial small subunit ribosomal RNA", at positions 741 to 1460 of the family's 1533-position model. The record is from RNAcentral. Lineage: Bacteria; Bacillati; Bacillota; Bacilli; Caryophanales; Bacillaceae.